AUGCCAGAGCAUUCUAAUAGGAAGCUCAUCACCACAUUUUCAGGAUCUUAUGGCACAAAGCACUGCGCAGAAGCUGCACCAAUCCUUGCUGUCCCUGGCAGCAGAAUGGUAGAAGGUGGGAGAGACCAGGAAUCCUUCCAGGCUGAGCUGACUUUAGAAAUGAGGAUUGCACACGUUUGUCUCCUGAACCAAAAGGAGAUAAGCAGCAGAAUUUAUCAGGCGUGAAAGGGACAGCCUCCUGGUGGCCUGCCAAAAACCCAGAAUAAAGGCGAAGUUGUGCUUCA
This 284-nucleotide long non-coding RNA is filed under the name Vulpes vulpes (red fox). Its description in RNAcentral is "lncRNA (ENSVVUG00000023891.1)". Lineage: Eukaryota; Metazoa; Chordata; Mammalia; Carnivora; Canidae. The record is from RNAcentral.